AACGAACGCUGGCGGCAUGCCUAACACAUGCAAGUCGAACGAGACCUUCGGGUCUAGUGGCGAACGGGUGCGUAACGCGUGGGAACCUGCCUUUAGGUUCGGAAUAACUCCCCGAAAGGGGUGCUAAUACCGGCUAAUGUCUUCGGACCAAAGAUUUAUCGCCUUUGGAUGGGCCCGCGUUGGAUUAGCUAGUUGGUAGGGUAAAAGCCUACCAAGGCGACGAUCCAUAGCUGGUCUGAGAGGAUGAUCAGCCACACUGGGACUGAGACACGGCCCAGACUCCUACGGGAGGCAGCAGUGGGGAAUAUUGGACAAUGGGCGAAAGCCUGAUCCAGCAAUGCCUCGUGAGUGAUGAAGGCCUUAGGGUUGUAAAGCUCUUUUACCCGGGAUGAUAAUGACAGUACCGGGAGAAUAAGCUCCGGCUAACUCCGUG
This 433-nucleotide ribosomal RNA is filed under the name uncultured bacterium. RNAcentral describes it as "partial 16S ribosomal RNA". It matches the Rfam family "Bacterial small subunit ribosomal RNA", at positions 29 to 507 of the family's 1533-position model. The record is from RNAcentral.